UGUAAUCAGUGAUCCUGUUUUUGAUCUCAUCAGGGUGGAGAUGCAAUGCAUUGCACACUCAAGAUGUACAUGCUUGAGGGUGUGUCAAGGUGGAAUUUGAACCGGUCAGCACAAGCACUUGGUAUGACUGAGACAUCCUGGACAAAGAUAUAUGACAUACGCUUGAUUUACAACGUGAAUGCGCUCAGCCACAAAGUCUUGGGAAAACCUCUUCUUCCAGAGUUUAUCCCCCCUGGGAAACCUACCGGUAAGAAAAGUCUGCUGUUGAUGAUGAUCAAACCUAUACUGUGACAUGGUAGGCAAUUAUUACACAAUCAUUUUUCACUUGGUGACUACUUAUUGCAGGAGAGCGUAUUGCUGUGUAUCUUCUCGCACAGUCCAACAGAGGAGAUCUUCUGAGACAGCAGGUUGGUGAUGAUGAUGAUUGAUGAUGAGGAUAAUGAUGGCAUCCUGCCAGAUAUCUUCGAUGAAACCUCGAGGAUGAAUGUACCGUCCUCAUGACCUCACAUUGCAGGAAAUUGGAAGCGGUGGCCCCAGGCCCAGGUCGGAUCCCCGGUCCCCAUUUGAGGAGAGUUAUGCCUCUGCAAGACCCGUCCACUCCCCAAUUGAGGAGAGAGAUGCCUCUUCAAGUCCCGUCCACUCCCCAACUGAUGAGAGAGAUGCCACUGCAAGUCCUGUCCACUCCCCAAUCGAUGUCCUCGCCUCAUUUGAAGAGAGUGGGCUCGUUACUCCAGCUCCGAUGACUAAGACAGGGAAGUCAGACAGCUACUGGAGGGACCUCUGCAUAAAAUAUGCCCAGGACCAAUACCGCUUCUCGACUGGCAAACGGCCAGGGGCCAAGAAAUGGAAAAAGGCCUUGGAGAGUAUCGAUGCCUGCCCCCUGCAGAGCCAUAGUGCUAGUAAGGAUCUGUUCGGGAGAAGCCUUCAGUGCUCCUGUGGGUUCCAAAAGGCGAGCGCAUAGCAGUGGAGUAUUUAUUGGCCCAGACCAACAGAGGUGACCUGCUGGCUCCAAAUCAGGUCCCUGAGGUCCCCUCGCAGGUACUUGAGGAGGAGGAUGAGCCAGAUGACACCAUCAGCAUGACUGACAUUCUGUGCCAGUCAGCUGCGAUAGGGGCUGGUGAUCCUCCAGGUGCUGUGGUGGGUGAUGCUGAACCCGGACCCCUCGUCACAGAGGUCAAUAACACUUUCUGUAACGCCUUACUCAAAAACACAAUAUUUAACUGAAGUAAAUGUGGUUACAUUUUAAUAAGAUAAAUGAAUGUAAAAUCAGCAUUGCUCACAUAUUAGAAACAAGAGUGUACAUUUAUUUGCUUGGUUUUUCUUUUUCUCACUUAUCAAUUUUCAGACCAGCCAAUGUGACUCAAGGAGGAUGCGGUUGAUAACCUGGCAGGCUACCUAGUUGGCUUGAAUCGCACCAUCACUGCCUUGUCAUUGAAGGAGGAGGUGGACAUAGUCCAGCUAUAUACAGCUCUCCAUGUCAUGGACAAGAAGCAUUCGAGGUACAAAAUAGUAAUCCCUAUUGACGACUCUAUUGACGACUUUACAUCCUUGUUCACAGUCCAGAUCAUAUCAUGAUGUGGGAGUCAUGUAUAGUUCCACAGACUGUACAUGACUCACGGCCAAGCAGCCCAGGAUCCCGAACACCACAGGGUCAGUGAGUGUGUCUGCCUCAGACUCCCUUUUGGAGUUCCAGGAGCCUGAGAACCGUGAGGGUGCGGCAAAAGUCCGCCAGCGACACAGUUCCAGGACACCUGUACCACGUGCCAUUCCACACACAGAGCUAUUACCAAGCACGAUGCUGCUUCCUCUGGAAACAGCUGUAUGGAGAGCUGGUCCUCUACCUACCAGCCACCCCCAACAAACUACCAGAGCUGGACUUCUUUUCUUCAGGCACCCCCGGAACACUCCCAGGAGUACUCCUCUGCCCAUCAGCUACCCCCAGCUCACACUCAAGGCUGGUCCACUUACCAGGCACCCCUUGCACACUCCCAUGUUUGGUCUUCCACCCAACCACCACCCUCAGCGUCCAACCAGGGCUGGUCUGCCACCCAACCACCACCCUCAGCAUCCUCCCAGGGCUGGUCAUCCACCUCCUACUGUCCUGACCAACCUAGGCUCCCUCACCAAGCACACCCAGAGGCACUAGGUCACCUUAAUCGCCAGCGUGAAUGGCGAUUACACAAGGCAACCCAAAUCCAAGCAAACUGGACACUAUCAGUUACGUGGAAAAUGGUACUGCCCUGCAUCCGGACAGAUGCUUGAGGAGUGGAGAAGCUCCUUGUAAUUACCCCAAUAGACAUUAUUUUUUAUUGUAAUUUUUUUUAUUUCUUAUCAGAAAAUAUGUUAACGUUCACUGUUGAAAAAUAAGUAUAUUUGCUGUUGCAAAAAAUAAUAAUAAUUAGUUGCCGUUGCAACUAUUUGCAAAAAAAAACAAACAGAAUAGUUGCUUAUGCAACUAUUUGCAAAAAUAAAAACAACUACAAAAAUAACAACUCUUGUGGUGUAAUAGUAACACGUCCAUCCUUGGGGUGGGAGACUCCAGGUGCAAAUCCUGGUAAGAGUGUGCAACUUGUUGAAACGAAUACAUCAUUUAAAAAGUAUUAAUAACAUACAAAACAGGGCAAUUUCAAGAUAUUCUAUGUUAAUGGCUUGCAGGUCAAACCAAUAAAUCACUUAUUAAGUAUGUUUAUUCUUCAAAAAGCAUUAUUUUGCAUAUUAAAAGCUAAGAAUUUCACCUGUUGUCAAUCAUUUUCUCCUCUUUUUCUUUUCUCUUCUUCCCUCUAUCCCCCUUUUCGCCCCUUCAAGCUGCCCUUUAUGCCCGUGCUUUGGCCGAGUGGUGGACGAAGGCGAUGGACUAGAAAUCCAUUGGGAUCUUCCCGCGCAGGUUCGAAUCCUGCCGACAACAAAUUACAUUUUUGAAUUUAAAUUAAUUAUUUGAGUGGUUGUAAGCUGUGACAUCGAUAUGUAUGUACCCACUACGUCGCUAUAAUAUAAUCACGGGCCACUUGGUGAACAUUAUCACAACAAUUUCAACAUUGAAAGAUGAGACCUGAACCAAACAGAAUGCUUACAUCUUCGAACAUCACUCCAGCAGCUUAAUGCUGUUCGAAUUAAGGUUAACUGGCUGUGUAAACGUUCUGGUUUACCUGAUUAUCGAUUGAUAACAACGUUUUAUUGCACGUUUUUCCCUCACAGUGGUGCACCGCCCACUUGUCACCACACUGAGGCAGCAAAGCCCCGCACCGCACACUCGUCACCACACGGGAGCAGCACCACGCUACACCGCCUACUGGUCCCCACACGAGGUCAGCACCGCGAUAAACCACCUACUUGUCAGACACAUGGGGGCAGCAAAGCGCUGCAGGUCGUCAACACAGUGGACACGUGUGUUGGGCACCGCGCCAAGCGUGUUUGACAUCACACGGUGGAAGAAAAUGACAUUCAUUUAGCUACCAAAAGCGUCAUCUCAAUGCAUAUAAUUGACUGCCACCGUGUAAUGAAGAACACGUGUUCUUCAUUACAUACUACACACCAGUGGUGUAGUCUACGUGAUACGCAGGUAUACGCCGUAUACCCACUAGGAACGCACCAGUAUUUGCGUAUACCCACUUAAAAAUGUGCACGGAUACGUAUCAAUCGUCUUGUGACAGAUCUUUCACUUCUGUGUUUAUUUUUCGGAAAUAUCGGUUGGGUAUAACUGCAAUAAAAUACUUUAAGCAGGGGAAGUUAUCUCCUACAUUCACCAUUCAUAAAAUUCCCGCUGCGCACUCGCGCUCUGCCCUGUCUCAGUUACGAAGCGCGAAGCUGCCCCUGCAUCUCUGCACGUUAGUUGGCGGGCCAAGCCCCUCCUUCUUGCGUGUGUGUGCGUGUGUGUGUGCGUGCGUGUGCGUGCGUGUCCAGUCCUCCCGUAUUAAUGUGUAAACCACAUAAUAAGUAGUCAACAGAAAACAAUGUUUUAAUCCCACUUCAUAUCUCCUUGUUACUUUUAGAUGAGAACCCCUGGCCAGCCUUUCAGACUGGGUGUCAGGCUAGGGAAUUUAAAAAAAGGCAUCCUUGGUUAGAGUGGAGGGAAAAAAGGUUAUAGGUAAAUGUCAGCCAACAUAUAGUUGGUACACACAAUUGAAAUUGAAAUUGAAAUGUUAAUCACUAUGCAAAUGAGAGUAUAGCUAAUUCAUGGUCAUUUUUAAGGUGCAGUAAUUUCACACUUUUACACAAUUCAAUUACUGUAUGGUAUGUUAGAUAACAACAGUAAGAGCUCAAAUUAGAGCAAUUGAAAGAGUGAAACAUUAGUCUCCUGUCAUCUCCUUCUCAUGCACUGGUUAGCCAUGGAUGUAAACAGUUCAUUCAAUUAUUUUGAGUAGAUUUUGUCCUUGUUUAGCAUGUGCUAUUGCUACUAUAGAUAUACAAAGGACAACUUGUAAUUUUUGUGUUCUAUUUGUUCACACUGUUAUUAAAACAGGUUCUUUCCAUGAUUGUUGAUAAUCGUUAUACUCUUAAAUCAGCGGGUUGUAGACCCCUGCGUUGGUGAGUGUGGUGCGACACCCCAUAAGCGCCACACACGUACACGUACCGGCCGGACGGGUUUGUACGAGGCUGGGAGGGAAUCAUCACAGUAUACCCACUACAAUAAAAUAGACUACACCACUGCUACACACUAGCUGUGUUCGAAAUCGUUCCCUAUCACGGAUAUAGGGGUGCUCGCCAUUUUGUAGUGGUGUUCGAAUUCUCAGUGGUUAAUUUCAUAUAUAGUGCAGUUAAAUUCCCAAAAUGUGAGUGGACAUACGAUGUUCCCUACACGUUACUCCCGUAUACCACAAUGCAAUGCGGUCGUGUUUUUCUGGAGGAGAAAAAGCUGAAUAACCGCGAAAACUAGCUUUCGUUUAGGAAUGUCCACAAUUUAUUUGGGAUUUAACAUAGAAAAUGUAACAUUCAAAAUUAAUUAAAAAAAAUUUGAUCAAGGAAAUGAAACAUUUUACAUCAAUACAACCUCCAGCUUACCUCGUGAGUGCCGUUUGUUUCAAGCAAGCCCCCAGGAACAGUGCACACUUCUGCAAUCCACCAGUGCUCCGCGGCCAUGCCUGGUAUUGCAGCUGUUUAAGCAGGCUGUGGACGGGUCCC
Molecule: long non-coding RNA, 5118 nt
Filed under: Gadus morhua (Atlantic cod)
Lineage: Eukaryota; Metazoa; Chordata; Actinopteri; Gadiformes; Gadidae
Description: lncRNA (ENSGMOG00000034290.1)
Rfam family: tRNA (bases 2492-2563)
Source: RNAcentral